RNAcentral lists this ribosomal RNA (379 nucleotides) under uncultured organism. Its description in RNAcentral is "partial 16S ribosomal RNA". It matches the Rfam family "Bacterial small subunit ribosomal RNA", at positions 527 to 896 of the family's 1533-position model. The record is from RNAcentral.
GUAGGUGGCAAGCGUUGUCCGGAAUUAUUGGGCGUAAAGCGCGCGCAGGCGGUUCUUUAAGUCUGAUGUGAAAGCCCACGGCUCAACCCGUGGGAGGGUCAUUGGAAACUGGAGAACUUGAGUACAGAAGAGGAAAGCGGAAUUCCACGUGUAGCGGUGAAAUGCGUAGAGAUGUGGAGGAACACCAGUGGCGAAGGCGGCUUUCUGGUCUGUAACUGACGCUGAGGCGCGAAAGCGUGGGGGGAGCAAACAGGAUUAGAUACCCUGGUAGUCCACGCCGUAAACCGAUGAGUGCUAAGUGUUAGGGGGGUUUUCCGCCCCCGUUAGUGCUGCAGCUAACGCAUUAAGCACUCCGCCUGGGAGUACGGCCGCAAGGCUG